RNAcentral lists this ribosomal RNA (395 nucleotides) under uncultured Lactobacillus sp. RNAcentral describes it as "bacterial SSU rRNA". It matches the Rfam family "Bacterial small subunit ribosomal RNA", at positions 128 to 508 of the family's 1533-position model. Lineage: Bacteria; Bacillati; Bacillota; Bacilli; Lactobacillales; Lactobacillaceae. The record is from RNAcentral.
CCCCAGAAGCGGGGGGAUAACACCUGGAAACAGAUGCUAAUACCGCAUAACAACUUGGACCGCAUGGUCCGAGUUUGAAAGAUGGCUUCGGCUAUCACUUUUGGAUGGUCCCGCGGCGUAUUAGCUAGAUGGUGGGGUAACGGCUCACCAUGGCAAUGAUACGUAGCCGACCUGAGAGGGUAAUCGGCCACAUUGGGACUGAGACACGGCCCAAACUCCUACGGGAGGCAGCAGUAGGGAAUCUUCCACAAUGGACGAAAGUCUGAUGGAGCAACGCCGCGUGAGUGAAGAAGGGUUUCGGCUCGUAAAGCUCUGUUGUUAAAGAAGAACGUGGGUAAGAGUAACUGUUUACCCAGUGACGGUAUUUAACCAGAAAGCCACGGCUAACUACGUGC